Molecule: ribosomal RNA, 253 nt
Filed under: uncultured bacterium
Lineage: Bacteria
Description: partial 16S ribosomal RNA
Rfam family: Bacterial small subunit ribosomal RNA
Source: RNAcentral
GACAGAGGGGGCAAGCGUUGCUCGGAAUUACUGGGCGUAAAGGGCGCGUAGGCGGAAUGGCAAGUCGGUCGUGAAAUCCUUCGGCUCAACCGAAGAACGUCGAUCGAAACUGCCGUUCUUGAGGAUUGCAGAGGAGACUGGAAUUCCCGGUGUAGCGGUGAAAUGUGCAGAGAUCGGGAGGAACACCGGUGGCGAAGGCGGCAUCCUGGACCAUGACUGACGCUGAGGAGCGAAAGCCAGGGGAGCAAACGGG